UCCUCCUAUAUUAAAUACAACUUUGGCUUCUCGGCCUGAAUGAAUGAAUAAAAAUAAAUAACUAAAUAAAUAAAAACAACAAUAAUAAAUGACUUAAAUAAAUAAAUAAAUGAAAUGGAAACCGAGACUUUCAAGUCUCUUGGCCGCUUCAAAUGUGGGAUAUUAACCCACUCUUCUUCUUCCAACUCCUUGUAUCCGUACACUAUGAGAUUGUUUCC
Molecule: long non-coding RNA, 218 nt
Filed under: Capsicum annuum
Lineage: Eukaryota; Viridiplantae; Streptophyta; Magnoliopsida; Solanales; Solanaceae
Description: long non-coding RNA (CANN_LNC014489)
Source: RNAcentral